UACGAAGGGGGCUAGCGUUGCUCGGAAUGACUGGGCGUAAAGGGCGCGUAGGCGGAUGGCACAGUCAGAUGUGAAAUUCCCGGGCUUAACCUGGGGGCUGCAUUUGAUACGUGUUGUCUAGAGUGAGGAAGAGGGUUGUGGAAUUCCCAGUGUAGAGGUGAAAUUCGUAGAUAUUGGGAAGAACACCGGUGGCGAAGGCGACACACUGGCCCAUUACUGACGCUGAGGCUCGAAAGCGUGGGGAGCAAACAGG
RNAcentral lists this ribosomal RNA (253 nucleotides) under uncultured bacterium. RNAcentral's name for it is "partial 16S ribosomal RNA". It matches the Rfam family "Bacterial small subunit ribosomal RNA", at positions 524 to 776 of the family's 1533-position model. The record is from RNAcentral.